This 454-nucleotide ribosomal RNA is filed under the name uncultured soil bacterium. Its description in RNAcentral is "bacterial SSU rRNA". It matches the Rfam family "Bacterial small subunit ribosomal RNA", at positions 60 to 546 of the family's 1533-position model. The record is from RNAcentral.
AGUCGCACGAGAAAGUGGAGCAAUCCAUGAGUACAGUGGCGUACGGGUGAGUAACACGUGGAUCAUCUACCUUCUAGUGGGGAAUACCCCUGGGAAACUGGGGACAAUACCGCAUAAGCUCGUAAGAGGAAAGCAGCAAUGCGCUGGAAGAGGAGUCCGCGGCUGAUUAGCUAGUUGGCGGGGUAAUGGCCCACCAAGGCGAAGAUCGGUAGCCGGCCUGAGAGGGCACACGGCCACACUGGCACUGAAACACGGGCCAGACUCCUACGGGAGGCAGCAGUGGGGAAUCUUGCACAAUGGAGGAAACUCUGAUGCAGCGACGCCGCGCGAGCGAUGAAGCCCUUCGGGGUGUAAAGCUCUUUCGACGGGAACGAUAAUGACGGUACCCGAAGAAGAAGCUGCGGCUAACUACGUGCCAGCAGCCGCGGUAAUACGUAGGCAGCAAGCGUUGUUC